RNAcentral lists this ribosomal RNA (497 nucleotides) under uncultured bacterium. RNAcentral describes it as "partial 16S ribosomal RNA". It matches the Rfam family "Bacterial small subunit ribosomal RNA", at positions 28 to 507 of the family's 1533-position model. The record is from RNAcentral.
GAUGAACGCUGGCGGCGUGCCUAAUACAUGCAAGUCGAGCGAACAGAUCAGCUUUUUGUUCCUUUGACGUUAGCGGCGGACGGGUGAGUAACACGUGGCUAACCUACCUAUAAGACUGGGCUAACUUCGGGACACCGGAGCCAAUACCUGAUAACAUAUUGAACCGCAUGGUUCAAUAGUUAAUGGCGGCUUUGCUUUUACUUAUAGAUGGAGCCGCGCCGUAUUAUCUAGUUGGUAAGGUAACGGUUUACGAAGGCAACGAUGCGUAGGCGACCUGAGAGGGUGAUCGGCGACACUGAAACUGAGACACGGUCCAGACUCCUACGGGAGGCAGCAGUAGGGAAGCUGCCGCAAUGGGCGUGAGCCUGACGGAGCAGCAGCGCGUGAGUGAUGAAGGUCUUCGGAUCGUAAAACUCUGUUAUCAGGGAAGACCAAAUGUGUAAGUGACUGUGCGCGUCGUGACGGUACCUGUACAGGAAGCCACGGCUAACUACGUG